This 816-nucleotide ribosomal RNA is filed under the name uncultured bacterium. RNAcentral describes it as "bacterial SSU rRNA". It matches the Rfam family "Bacterial small subunit ribosomal RNA", at positions 8 to 796 of the family's 1533-position model. The record is from RNAcentral.
AGAGUUUGAUCCUGGCUCAGAACGAACGCUGGCGGCGUGGAUUAGGCAUGCAAGUCGAACGGGACAUUAUUUGUAGCAAUACAGGUGAUGUCUAGUGGCGGAAGGGUGAGUAACGCGCGGGUAAUCUGCCCUUAAGUUGGGGAUAACACUCCGAAAGGAGUGCUAAUACCGAAUGUGGUCGCUUCAGACAUCUGAAGCUAUCCAAAGCCGGGGACCGUAAGGCCUGGCGCUUGAGGAUGAACCCACGUACUAUCAGCUAGUUGGUGAGGUAACGGCUCACCAAGGCUAAGACGGUUAGCUGGUCUGAGAGGAUGGUCAGCCACACUGGGACUGAGACACUGCCCAGACUCCUACGGGAGGCUGCAGUCGAGGAUCAUUCGCAAUGGGCGCAAGCCUGACGGUGCGACGCCGCGUGCAGGAUGAAGGCCUUCGGGUUGUAAACUGCUGUCAUGAGGGAGCAACGACUCUAGCUCUAAUACCGCUAGGGAGUGAUAGUACCUCAGGAGGAAGCCACGGCUAACUCUGUGCCAGCAGCCGCGGUAAUACAGAGGCGGCAAGCGUUGUUCGGAUUUACUGGGCGUAAAGGGUGCGUAGGCGGUUCCGUGUGUCGGAUGUGAAAGCCCACAGCUCAACUGUGGAACUGCAUUCGAAACUACGGUGCUAGAGUACGGGAGAGGAGAGCGGAAUUCUGGGUGUAGCAGUGAAAUGCGUAGAUAUCCAGAAGAACACCGGUGGCGAAGGCGGCUCUCUGGACCGAUACUGACGCUGAGGCACGAAAGCUGGGGGAGCAAACAGGAUUAGAUACCCUGGUAGUCC